GACGAACGCUGGCGGCGUGCUUAACACAUGCAAGUCGAACGGAAAGGCCCUGCUUGCAGGGUACUCGAGUGGCGAACGGGUGAGUAACACGUGGGUGAUCUGCCCUGCACUUCGGGAUAAGCCUGGGAGACUGGGUCUAAUACCGGAUAGGAGCCAUUUUUAGUGUGAUGGUUGGAAAGUUUUUUCGGUGUAGGAUGAGCUCGCGGCCUAUCAGCUUGUUGGUGGGGUAAUGGCCUACCAAGGCGGCGACGGGUAGCCGGCCUGAGAGGGUGGACGGCCACAUUGGGACUGAGAUACGGCCCAGACUCCGACGGGAGGCAGCAGUGGGGAAUAUUGCACAAUGGGCGCAAGCCUGAUGCAGCGACGCCGCGGGGGGGAUGACGGCCUUCGGGUUGUAAACCACUUUCGCUAGGGACGAAGCUUUUUGUGACGGUACCUAGAUAAGAAGCACCGGCUAACUACGUG
This 465-nucleotide ribosomal RNA is filed under the name uncultured bacterium. RNAcentral's name for it is "partial 16S ribosomal RNA". It matches the Rfam family "Bacterial small subunit ribosomal RNA", at positions 28 to 507 of the family's 1533-position model. The record is from RNAcentral.